UAUUGCCAGCACGUAAUGGUGGGGACUUGCAGGAGACUGCCGGGGUCAACUCGGAGGAAGGUGGGGAUGACGUCAAGUCAUCAUGCCCCUUAUGUCCAGGGCUUCACACAUGCUACAAUGGCGCGUACAGAGGGCUGCGAGACCGUGAGGUGGAGCGAAUCCCUUAAAGCGCGUCUCAGUUCGGAUUGGGGUCUGCAACUCGACCCAUGAAGUCGGAGUCGCUAGUAAUCGCAGAUCAGCAACGCUGCGGUGAAUACGUUCCCGGGCUUGUACACACCGCCCGUCACGUCAUGAAAGUCGGUAACACCGAAGCCGGUGGCCUAACCCCUCGGGGAGGGAGCCGUCGAAGGUGGGAUCGGCGAUUGGGACGAAGUCGUAACAAGGUAGCCGUACCGGAAGGUGCGGCUGGAUCACCUCCUUUCU
RNAcentral lists this ribosomal RNA (423 nucleotides) under Gordonia malaquae. RNAcentral describes it as "bacterial SSU rRNA". It matches the Rfam family "Bacterial small subunit ribosomal RNA", at positions 1113 to 1533 of the family's 1533-position model. Lineage: Bacteria; Bacillati; Actinomycetota; Actinomycetes; Mycobacteriales; Gordoniaceae. The record is from RNAcentral.